RNAcentral lists this ribosomal RNA (292 nucleotides) under uncultured bacterium. RNAcentral describes it as "partial 16S ribosomal RNA". It matches the Rfam family "Bacterial small subunit ribosomal RNA", at positions 505 to 796 of the family's 1533-position model. The record is from RNAcentral.
GUGUCAGCCGCCGCGGUAAUACGUAGGGGGCAAGCGUUGUCCGGAAUCAUUGGGCGUAAAGCGCGCGUAGGCGGCCUCGUAAGUCCGCUGUAAAAGUCAAAGGCUCAACCUUUGAACGCCGGUGGAUACUGCGAGGCUAGAGUCCGGAAGAGGCGGGUGGAACUCCUGGUGUAGCGGUGGAAUGCGCAGAUAUCAGGAAGAACACCAACGGCGAAGGCAGCCCGCUGGGACGGUACUGACGCUAAGGCGCGAAAGCGUGGGGAGCGAACAGGAUUAGAAACCCGCGUAGUCC